GCGUCGAUAGCAUAACGGUAGUGCUCGCCUACUACGCAGGUGGUCCGGGGCUCAAUUCCCGGCCGAUGCA
RNAcentral lists this transfer RNA (70 nucleotides) under Trichobilharzia regenti. It matches the Rfam family "tRNA". Rfam says of the family: Transfer RNA (tRNA) molecules are approximately 80 nucleotides in length. Their secondary structure includes four short double-helical elements and three loops (D, anti-codon, and T loops). Lineage: Eukaryota; Metazoa; Platyhelminthes; Trematoda; Strigeidida; Schistosomatidae. The record is from Rfam by way of RNAcentral.